CGACAGAUCCUCACUCUUUAGUUUGGGGGUUCUAACAUCUCUGUACGCCGAGCAGCAAUGGAGACUCCAUAUGCCAGAUGGACCUUCUACUGCACUGUGACUGCAACAUGUCUGAUGUUUGGAGGAGGAAGUGACCUCACUUUCUACCCACACGACUACAGAACCAACCUGUAGUGGCAGCUGAUGAACAGGACUGCUCACGAGGAGAACGAGGUGAACUGCUAUGUGUGCGCAGCUACGAAUUGCCACACACAACUCAGGUCUGCACCCAGGGAGCAUCACUGAUGACAAACAGAUGUGUCUCUAUGGCCUGAGCACACAACCACGACUCAGCGUCCCCGUGAAAAGAAGAAAAUGCAAAUGAUGCCACAAAAGGACUUUUUGGAUCUAUGAACUGUUCAUACACCUACUGCGACAGACACCGGAUUACAUCAACUACAUUGCCUGCAGGGGUCAAAGGGCGACUCCACACUGCAAAGUCUGGAAGGGCAACCCAGACUGUGACAACCUGCCUCAGGAGAGGAGUUUCAACACCACGCAUAAGACAAAAAGGAGACAAGAGACAACACUGUGCAGCGCCAUAGUGCCAGGAGAUUAUGGCUCAUGGAUGUUGGCAGAUUGGUACUUCAUAUGCGGAAAUGAAAGCACAAAAUGAUCUACACACCCGCUCCAAACGAACAGUUAUGCCAGAGGUCAAAAGAUGGGGAGGCCUCACAACACAUACUGGAGUUCCAUGGGAAUUCAGGAUUUGGAACGGCGGAGAAAAAUUCAUGCAAAGUCUUUUUCCGUGGGUUGAUCUAGGAGAGAUUCGGGACCACGUUGAGAUCAACAGAUAUGAAUUAAUGCGACUCAUCAACAGUACACAGCCAAUGGCACCAAGAAAGAACUGACUGAACUGAGGAACAUGGUUAUGCAAAACCGUGUUUUCCUGGACUUCCUCACAGCCUCUCAGGGAGGGGUCUGCAACGACUGCACUUUUGUGCUUGAUGAAACAGGAACUGGAAGAACUUAAACAUUACAUAGAAAGUGGAACACAAGGAUCAUCUUCUUUUGAUUUGCUUUCAUGGCUUACUUCUGGACCAUGGUGGUCCUUGCUGUUAAAGCUCGUGACACCUGUUCUGAUUGUUUUAGUUCUGUUCUGUCUUUUCACAAGUUGCAUUAUUCCUUGUCUACGACAUAUGAUGUUUAAAACAGUUAACACAACUGUUAUCAACUAUCAGCUGGCAAAAGCAUCUUAUGAGACAACUGAAGACUUGUUCCAAGUUUCUGACGAUUUUCUGAACAAUGAUGAAUUUCUGUAAUCAAUAAACAGAUUAAUUCAUUUGCUGAAUGAUUCCUGCACCGAAAAUGUG
Poecilia latipinna (sailfin molly) is the source of this 1352-nucleotide long non-coding RNA. RefSeq lists it as uncharacterized. The record is from RefSeq and is a predicted model, not a curated record. The transcript is spliced from 2 exons. Lineage: Eukaryota; Metazoa; Chordata; Actinopteri; Cyprinodontiformes; Poeciliidae.